Molecule: long non-coding RNA, 233 nt
Filed under: Carica papaya (papaya)
Lineage: Eukaryota; Viridiplantae; Streptophyta; Magnoliopsida; Brassicales; Caricaceae
Description: long non-coding RNA (CPAP_LNC002120)
Source: RNAcentral
UCAGGUUACGCGAAUUGGCCAAGGGAUGCCAUGUACGGCUAGGGGUACCGGCCAAAGGUCACAUCUGUGCCUUCUCCAACGUCUGUUGGUAAGUUUUCUAUUUUUCUUUUCAGGUUGAUCGAUCUAACCGGUUCAAACUAGCCCCAAACCAAGUUUGUUGAACCUGUCCAAUUGUGUUAGACCAGUUUUAACCACUAACCGAUUCUAGUUGUUUUAUGCAGGUUCAAAUUUCG